Molecule: long non-coding RNA, 1948 nt
Filed under: Bos indicus x Bos taurus (hybrid cattle)
Lineage: Eukaryota; Metazoa; Chordata; Mammalia; Artiodactyla; Bovidae
Description: lncRNA (ENSBIXG00005028253.1)
Source: RNAcentral
ACCAGUAUAUAUGUGUGCAUCUGAAGAAAAGUUUUACUAACAUAUUUUUCUUACUAUGUGUGAUGUGCUCAGAUAUUUUAAACAGUCUCUUUUAUUAUUUUUUUAAAUUAUGGCUAUAAUUCACUAAAUUGAUUCAUGAUCCACUAAUGGGUAGUGACUUAUAGUUUGAAAAAGUGUUUGAAGCUAAUAUACUAUCAAUAUAUACUAUAUAUAUAUAACAAAUAUCAACAAGCCAUGUUAUAAUGAAGCAGCUCUACAGUGAAUAUUUGCUUAAAAUUAGCAACAAUAUGGAUCGCUUUUCAUAGCUAUUGAUGGAGGCUUAGGCCAGGAGCUACUAGUUGCUUCCUGCAAAGACCCAUCAGUAUCCAUGUUUCUCUGUUUCUCAGGCAGUCAGGUGUGAUCAUAUGACUGAAUUUUUGCCAGGGAUAUGAGUGGAGGUGAUUGUGUUUUUUCUAGUCCUGCCUUUACAAACCUCCCCACAAAAAUCCCUGGCCCUCUUCCCACGCAUGCUGCUGGCUGAGUAGAGAACUCUGGUGAUUCUCAGGAGGGAGAGUCCACCUCCAGUCCAUUUGUGCUGCGAUAGCUAAUACAGGAACCGUAAACCACAAGUGAAACUGCUGGAUGACACUAAGAGUAGUAAUAAUGUUCAUUUCCUGAUGUCAGAAAGAUGGAAAAAGGAAGUACACACUUCUGCAAUUGAAUUGAACUAAAGCAAUUCAAUGAUGCCGGCUUUGGUUGAAAUGAUGAGUCUGGCCACUAACAGAGUUUCCUUACAAGCAGGCCAUGGCCAAAAGGAGAUCAACAGACAAGAUGCCAAAAUCAUCAGCAGGACCUGCCAUUGGAUUCCUUUGAAUCUUUUCUAAAAGCAGUAACAAUAAUAUCAGAAUAAUCACCAUGCAAUAAGAGUUGAAUGUGUGAGACAGACUUUAUAUAUUACUGCAUUCAAUCCUCAACUUCUAUUGAGGCGGAUGGUAUCAUAACUUUCUUACCAAACUCAACAACAACUACUUGCUCAGGACCACAAACUUGUAAGUGAGGAAACUUUUGAAACCUGGUCCAUUUAUCCCCAACACUCAUGUUCUUUCCUUUCAAUGUUCUUGCCCUUCGGACUUAGAUCAGGUGGGUGUACAAAGGUAUCCAAGGGAACAGAGUCUUCUUAGCCUCUCUCUAAGGAACUGGACAACACUUGUAAUCGGGACCUUGAACCAAUAAUUCUAACUCAGUGUGACUCUCUUUUUGUUCGUCCUACAUCAUUCUUGGCCCUCAUGGUCUGGUCUGGGAUGUGAUGCUAGACCUUGCUUAUCAUCUUCAUAAGGUUGAAGUUCUCUGUCUUUCUGACUGAGAUGCUGGGCCCGUUUUACUUCCUGUGACCUUUGUCUGUGUUCAAUAUCAGCAUCAUUUUUUCCCAUGAUGAUGAGGUGGGGGAGCAGGAGGGCACAAUAGUGUGAGUGCCAAACUUGAAACAAGAUUCUCAUCUCCAGGUCUGUGGUUCCAAACUCUAUGCGACAGCUCCCUGGGUCACCCCAAGAAAUUCACAGAGACGCCAAGGAAUGAUGCAAACUUCUGAGGAAAACAGUGACACUCAACAUCUACCAAAUAGCACAUGAACCAAUGGCUCAAGGGAGUUCACGGCUUCAAAAUGAGAUCACAUUACACUUCUUUUGAUGACGUAUCUGUGCAAAGCUCUUUUUAAAAAAUUGUUGAGCUAAAAGGAAUUUUAUCUGAUUCUAAGGUUUCAGAAGCUGUGUAGGACCCAACAAGUAGGCACACACAUCCUAUCAGUAAGUAGUUGUGACUGUUUAAGAAGGAAAUAGUGAUUAUUUCUCCUCUCAAAUUAUGCUUUUUUCCCCCUAAACAUCUAGUGCAUUGUUAGGACAUAAGGACUUACUCAGUUGUUUGGACCUACCUACUUAAUAAAUAGAACUUAAUAAGGUAUUUUUCUGGGCUC